Molecule: ribosomal RNA, 511 nt
Filed under: uncultured Enterobacterales bacterium
Lineage: Bacteria; Pseudomonadati; Pseudomonadota; Gammaproteobacteria; Enterobacterales
Description: bacterial SSU rRNA
Rfam family: Bacterial small subunit ribosomal RNA
Source: RNAcentral
AUUGAACGCUGGCGGCAGGCCUAACACAUGCAAGUCGAACGGUAGCACAGAGGAGCUUGCUCCUUGGGUGACGAGUGGCGGACGGGUGAGUAAUGUCUGGGAAACUGCCCGAUGGAGGGGGAUAACUACUGGAAACGGUAGCUAAUACCGCAUAACGUCGCAAGACCAAAGAGGGGGACCUUCGGGCCUCUUGCCAUCGGAUGUGCCCAGAUGGGAUUAGCUAGUAGGUGGGGUAACGGCUCACCUAGGCGACGAUCCCUAGCUGGUCUGAGAGGAUGACCAGCCACACUGGAACUGAGACACGGCCCAGACUCCUACGGGAGGCAGCAGUGGGGAAUUUUGCACAAUGGGCGCAAGCCUGAUGCAGCCAUGCCGCGUGUAUGAAGAAGGCCUUCGGGUUGUAAAGUACUUUCAGCGAGGAGGAAGGCGUUGUGGUUAAUAACCGCAACGAUUGACGUUACUCGCAGAAGAAGCACCGGCUAACUCCGUGCCAGCCGCCGCGGUAAAAGGG